RNAcentral lists this ribosomal RNA (270 nucleotides) under uncultured archaeon. RNAcentral's name for it is "partial 16S ribosomal RNA". It matches the Rfam family "Archaeal small subunit ribosomal RNA", at positions 477 to 747 of the family's 1478-position model. The record is from RNAcentral.
CAGCACCUCAAGUGGUCAGGAUGAUUAUUGGGCCUAAAGCAUCCGUAGCCGGCGCUGUAAGUUUUCGGUUAAAUCUGUACACUCAACGUACAGGCUGCCGGGAAUACUGCAGCGCUAGGGAGUGGGAGAGGUAGACGGUACUCGGUAGGAAGGGGUAAAAUCCUUUGAUCUAUUGAUGACCACCUGUGGCGAAGGCGGUCUACCAGAACACGUCCGACGGUGAGGGAUGAAAGCUGGGGGAGCAAACCGGAUUAGAGACCCGAGUAGUCC